CGGGGCGUAGCGCAGCAUGGUAGCGCACCUGCCUUGGGCGCAGGGGGUCGGAGGUUCAAGUCCUCUCGCCCCGACCA
This 77-nucleotide transfer RNA is filed under the name Nitrospirota bacterium. RNAcentral describes it as "Nitrospirae bacterium (groundwater metagenome) tRNA-Pro". It matches the Rfam family "tRNA". Rfam says of the family: Transfer RNA (tRNA) molecules are approximately 80 nucleotides in length. Their secondary structure includes four short double-helical elements and three loops (D, anti-codon, and T loops). RNAcentral also lists the same sequence under 2 other names. Lineage: Bacteria; Pseudomonadati; Nitrospirota. The record is from RNAcentral.